This 496-nucleotide ribosomal RNA is filed under the name barley rhizosphere bacterium JJ-3210. RNAcentral's name for it is "bacterial SSU rRNA". It matches the Rfam family "Bacterial small subunit ribosomal RNA", at positions 8 to 491 of the family's 1533-position model. Lineage: Bacteria; Pseudomonadati; Bacteroidota; Sphingobacteriia. The record is from RNAcentral.
AGAGUUUUGAUUCCAUGGCUCAGAGUGAACGCUGGCGGUAGGCCUAACACAUGCAAGUCGAACGGCAGCACAGCAGUAGCAAUACUGUGGGUGGCGAGUGGCGGACGGGUGAGGAAUACAUCGGAAUCUACCUUUUCGUGGGGGAUAACGUAGGGAAACUUACGCUAAUACCGCAUAAGACCUUCGGGUGAAAGUGGGGGACCUUCGGGCCUCACGCGGAUAGAUGAGCCGAUGUCGGAUUAGCUUGUUGGCGGGGUAAAAGCCCACCAAGGCGACGAUCCGUAGCUGGUCUGAGAGGAUGAUCAGCCACACUGGAACUGAGACACGGUCCAGACUCCUACGGGAGGCAGCAGUGGGGAAUAUUGGACAAUGGGCGCAAGCCUGAUCCAGCCAUACCGCGUGGGUGAAGAAGGCCUUCGGGUUGUAAAGCCCUUUUGUUGGGAAAGAAAUCCUGCCGGUUAAUAACCAGUAGGGAUGACGGUACCCAAAGAAUAGC